CGCUGGCGGUAGGCUUAACACAUGCAAGUCGAGCGAGAAAGUAUCUUCGGAUGCGAGUAUAGCGGCGGACGGGUGAGUAACGCGUAGGAAUCUACCUAGUAGAAGGGGAUAGCCCGAGGAAACUCGGAUUAAUACCGUAUACCUCCUUUGGGAGAAAGAGGGCCUCUCUUGAUGCUCUCGCUAUUAGAUGAGCCUGCGUAAGAUUAGCUUGUUGGUAAGGUAAUGGCUUACCAAGGCUACGAUCUUUAGCUGGUCUGAGAGGACGAUCAGCCACAUUGGGACUGAGACACGGCCCAGACUCCUACGGGAGGCAGCAGUGGGGAAUAUUGGACAAUGGGCGCAAGCCUGAUCCAGCCAUACCGCGUGUGUGAAGAAGGCCUUCGGGUUGUAAAGCACUUUAAGCAGGGAGAAAAAGUUAUAAGUUAAUACCUUAUAGCCGUGAUGUUACCUGCAGAAUAAGCACCGGCUAAUUCCGUGCCAGCAGCCGCGGUAAUACGGAAGGUGCAAGCGUUAAUCGGAAUUACUGGGCGUAAAGCGCGCGUAGGUGGUUUGUUAAGUUGGAUGUGAAAGCCCUGGGCUCAACCUAGGAACUGCAUCCAAAACUAACUCACUAGAGUACGAUAGAGGGAGGUAGAAUUCAUAGUGUAGCGGUGGAAUGCGUAGAUAUUAUGAAGAAUACCAGUGGCGAAGGCGGCCUCCUGGAUCUGUACUGACACUAAGGUGCGAAAGCGUGGGUAGCGAACAGGAUUAGAUACCCUGGUAGUCCACGCCGUAAACGAUGACAACUAGCUGUUGGAAGACAAUGUCUUUCAGUGGCGCAGCUAACGUUUUAAGUUGUCCG
RNAcentral lists this ribosomal RNA (841 nucleotides) under uncultured Gammaproteobacteria bacterium. Its description in RNAcentral is "bacterial SSU rRNA". It matches the Rfam family "Bacterial small subunit ribosomal RNA", at positions 34 to 871 of the family's 1533-position model. The record is from RNAcentral. Lineage: Bacteria; Pseudomonadati; Pseudomonadota; Gammaproteobacteria.